GUAAAGUGAGGCCCCCAACCCCGCAUCUAUGCUGGCAGUGGCCCGGAAACUACCGAUCCGGUUUAUUAAUAGCCGUCGGGGAAGAGGGACCCGCAGCAGCAGCAACUCCAUCCCAAGACUCUUACACUUUGCCAGGGAUGAAGAGCGACCCACAAUCGGAUCUGCACAUUUUUCCAAGAGAUCAGAUGUGACAAUGCGGUGAAGCAGCCAAAUUCCUGACUUUUGUCCAAGUCCCGCUACUCAGAGAUCCCAGGCCCCAGGCCCUGUGGCCUUUUGGCUGCCAAAGGGCCAGGACAGAGUGACAGUAGCAAACCAUCUUCCUAAUUGUCUUUUGAAUGAAACUGUGACUUGGUGUGACAAGGGCUGGACAGGAGUCAGUGACUUAUGGAGACAGAGCUCAGCCUGGGGAGCCCCCUUCCCAGGGCUUAUUAGCUCUGCUAGGUCAUAGCCCUUGUUUUCUUAUCUAGAAAAACUGGAAUCAUGUUACCUGCUCAACCUAUCAGGGGCUUUGGGAGAAUCAAUGGAAAGGAAAAUAUAGAGCCAAAAAAGCAUUAUAUAAAUUUCAAGCAUUAAAAUAAUCUCACCCCCCUCUUUACACAC
This is a long non-coding RNA of Lagenorhynchus albirostris (white-beaked dolphin), 600 nucleotides long. RefSeq lists it as uncharacterized. The record is from RefSeq and is a predicted model, not a curated record. NCBI's taxonomy places the organism in Eukaryota, Metazoa, Chordata, Mammalia, Artiodactyla, Delphinidae. The transcript has 3 exons.